Non-coding RNA from Paramormyrops kingsleyae, 838 nucleotides. The record is from RefSeq and is a predicted model, not a curated record. NCBI's taxonomy places the organism in Eukaryota, Metazoa, Chordata, Actinopteri, Osteoglossiformes, Mormyridae.
CAUUAAAACAGUACUUAUAUUGACCGUUUUGCUUAUUAAAUUGCUUAGACCAUUUUUGCAUUGGAAGCGUUUUAGAAACCAUCAUAAGCUAUACUUAAUUUUAUUAUUGUAACUUAUCACUGUUGAUACAUUUCACGUUUGUAUAGUGGAAGUAGAGUGAGAACUACAGAGUUGUAGUGUGAGUGACCUGUUUUGUGGCUAAAUUCUCUCCCAGUAGUUGUUAAGGUUCCCACACCCUUCGGACGUCACCGACAGCCAACAUGACCGCUAAAUGGUUCCUGCUGUUCUUCUUCGCCAUCUGCGCUGCAGAUACAAUUAACAAACGUGAAAUAAACUAUAAGGUAAGACAGUAACUUCUUUGAUCUAACCUGCAUGAAUGUGUUAUACAUCCUAUCCUCAACAAAACAAACGAUUCUCUCUUAUUGAAGAUUUUAUCUACGUAAUUGAAGAGAAUGUUACUCCACCCCGCGGUUUAACUCUCAAGAGACCUGCAGUCACUAAGAAGUGUAACUGGUGACUGAUAACGCCAGCGUACCACCAGCAGACACACAUUGCCAAUCACUGUCUACCUGUAUUUACAGCCUCCCUGUGAAAUACUCACAGGCCUCGUCUAUUGUCCUACACAUGCGGUCCCAGUGUGUGGCACUGAUGGGAAAACCUAUAACAACAUGUGUGAUCUCUGUAACUACAUGGCGCGGACCAAAGAAAACAUCUUGGUUACGAAAAGAGGGAAGUGCUGAAUGACAGAAAUAGCUCACGUCGAGACUCUCGUUUGAAUAACAUGAUCGUCUAACCCUCCUCAUUCUAUCUACUAAUUAAAAACUUCUUUGGCAUUUGA